RNAcentral lists this ribosomal RNA (867 nucleotides) under uncultured bacterium. RNAcentral's name for it is "bacterial SSU rRNA". It matches the Rfam family "Bacterial small subunit ribosomal RNA", at positions 9 to 871 of the family's 1533-position model. The record is from RNAcentral.
GAGUUUGAUCAUGGCUCAGAUUGAACGCUGGCGGCAGGCCUAACACAUGCAAGUCGAACGGUAACAGGAUGUGCUUGCACAUCGCUGACGAGUGGCGGACGGGUGAGUAAUGCUUGGGAACAUGCCUUUGUGAGGGGGAUAACAGUUGGAAACGACUGCUAAUACCGCAUAACGUCUUCGGACCAAAGGGGGGUUUAGGCCUCUCGCGCAAAGAGUGGCCCAAGUGAGAUUAGCUAGUUGGUGGGGUAAAGGCUCACCAAGGCGACGAUCUCUAGCUGUUCUGAGAGGAAGAUCAGCCACACUGGGACUGAGACACGGCCCAGACUCCUACGGGAGGCAGCAGUGGGGAAUAUUGCACAAUGGGGGGAACCCUGAUGCAGCCAUGCCGCGUGUGUGAAGAAGGCCUUCGGGUUGUAAAGCACUUUCAGACGUGAGGAAAGGAUGAUGGUUAAUACCCAUCAUCUGUGACGUUAGCGUCAGAAGAAGCACCGGCUAACUCCGUGCCAGCAGCCGCGGUAAUACGGAGGGUGCGAGCGUUAAUCGGAAUUACUGGGCGUAAAGCGCACGCAGGCGGUUAUUUAAGCUAGAAGUGAAAGCCCCGAGCUCAACUUGGGAAGGCCUUUUAGAACUGGAUAACUAGAGUCUUGGAGAGGGGAGUGGAAUUCCACGUGUAGCGGUGAAAUGCGUAGAUAUGUGGAGGAACAUCAGUGGCGAAGGCGACUCCCUGGCCNAAGACUGACGCUCAUGUGCGAAAGUGUGGGUAGCGAACAGGAUUAGAUACCCUGGUAGUCCCCACNGUAAACGCUGUCUACUAGCUGUUUGUGUAUUAUAUACGUGAGUAGCGAAGCUANCGCGCUAAGUANACCC